UAGGGAAUAUUGGGCAAUGGGCGAGAGCCUGACCCAGCCAUGCCGCGUGCCGGAUGAAGGCCUUCUGGGUUGUAAACGGCUUUUCUCAGGGAAGAAAAAGACCAUGCGUGGUACACUGACGGUACCUGAGGAAUAAGCACCGGCUAACUCCGUGCCAGCAGCCGCGGUAAUACGGAGGGUGCAAGCGUUGUCCGGAUUUAUUGGGUUUAAAGGGUGCGUAGGUGGCUUGUUAAGUCCGGGGUGAAAGCCCACAGCUCAACUGUGGAACUGCCCUGGAUACUGGCGAGCUUGAGUCCAGACGAGGUUGGCGGAAUGGAAGCUGUAGCGGUGAAAUGCAUAGAUAGCUUCCAGAACCCCGAUUGCGUAGGCAGCUGACUAGGCUGGUACUGACACUGAGGCACGAAAGCGUGGGGAGCGAACAGG
RNAcentral lists this ribosomal RNA (423 nucleotides) under uncultured bacterium. RNAcentral describes it as "bacterial SSU rRNA". It matches the Rfam family "Bacterial small subunit ribosomal RNA", at positions 355 to 776 of the family's 1533-position model. The record is from RNAcentral.